Molecule: long non-coding RNA, 904 nt
Filed under: Nicotiana benthamiana
Lineage: Eukaryota; Viridiplantae; Streptophyta; Magnoliopsida; Solanales; Solanaceae
Description: long non-coding RNA (NBEN_LNC024194)
Source: RNAcentral
GAUUUUAGAGCCUAGAGAGAUUGGAACCUACAGAUUUCUGAGAGUUAGGAAACACAGAAAAACCAAACUGGACAUCCUGAAGAAUGAAAAAAUAUAUAGAAAGAAAUACAGAAGUUUAGAAUCAAUUAUUUCCUUCUGAAAAUCCAAUAAAAAAUGUUGAAAGUUGUUUGAAUUGGUUCGGGUUUCCUGUUUAGUUCUCCAAAUCAUUCUCUCAAUUUAGAAUUUCUGAAAAAACCUCUAAAAUUGAGAUUUUGGUGAGGGAAAUGGUUUAAGUUUGGUUUAGAGUCUGUUUUUUGGGAUCCGUCUACUAUUCUAUUAGUUUUACUAAGGUGAACCCUGUUUGAUUGAUCAAAUUUGGGUUGUUUGUUGUUGCUUACUGCUGAUCUUCUCACUUCUCUCUUACUUUGUUUUCCAGGUAUUCUUCUUAGCCCAAUGAACAAUGACUAAGGUUGAAUGUGUAAUUCAAUGGGUUUGAUAGAAUACAAGCUAUAGACAAUUCACUUUUUUUCUUUUCUCUAUUUAUUUUUUAUGUUUCAGAUCGUAUAUUAGUUUGCAAUGAUAGGUUUAAAUAAAUCGUUGCUUGCAUAUUAUAAGGCUGGAUUUGUGUUUGCAGUUCAUUGUUUAAUUUCAAUAUUAAAUAGCGUGAUCAGAGGGUGUGCAAGUAGGUUUUGUAGAUGUUUUAUGACAAGUGAACUAUAGACUUAAACUAUUCAGCCUCGUGUUUGAUUUUGUAUUCUGGGUCACAGGUUUUGUUUAGUUUCUGUUGAGGAUUAGCGGGUUUUAGUCCUGGCGUUUGAAGUGCUAGGUGUUGGCUUGUAUGUGCAUUAAUUUAUACAAAUUUUUUUUUUAUAUAAGCAUGAUUAUUAUGAGCAUUAAGUUUAAGAUUCAUGUUUGCUCACUAGGA